This 76-nucleotide small RNA is filed under the name Methylobacterium nodulans ORS 2060. RNAcentral's name for it is "Makes More Granules Regulator RNA (mmgR)". It matches the Rfam family "Makes More Granules Regulator RNA (mmgR)". From Rfam's summary of the family: SuhB later renamed mmgR (makes more granules regulator) was a putative non-coding RNA found multiple times in the Agrobacterium tumefaciens genome and related alpha-proteobacteria. Other non-coding RNAs uncovered in the same analysis include: speF, ybhL, metA, and serC. Lineage: Bacteria; Pseudomonadati; Pseudomonadota; Alphaproteobacteria; Hyphomicrobiales; Methylobacteriaceae. The record is from Rfam by way of RNAcentral.
GGCGCACGCCCUCGAUGGGCAUCUCCUCCCAAGACUUCGGGCCGCUCCGCAAGGACGGCUUUUCCUUUUGCCCUAC